Molecule: ribosomal RNA, 460 nt
Filed under: uncultured bacterium
Lineage: Bacteria
Description: partial 16S ribosomal RNA
Rfam family: Bacterial small subunit ribosomal RNA
Source: RNAcentral
CCUACGGGAGGCAGCAGUGAGGAAUAUUGGUCAAUGGGCUUACGCCUGAACCAGCCAAGUCGCGUGAGGGAUGACUGCCCUAUGGGUUGUAAACCUCUUUUGUCAGGGAGUAAUUGGCGCUACGUGUAGCGUUAUCGAGAGUACCUGAAGAAAAAGCAUCGGCUAACUCCGUGCCAGCAGACGCGGUAAUACGGAGGAUGCGAGCGUUAUCCGGAUUUAUUGGGUUUAAAGGGUGCGUAGGCGGAAUGCCAAGGCAGCGGGAAAAUCGCGGGGCUCAACCUGGAGCCGCCGUUGAAACUGGCGUUCUUGAGUGGGCGAGAAGAAUGCGGAAUGCGUGGUGUAGCGGUGAAAUGCAUAGAUAUCACGCAGAACUCCGAUUGCGAAGGCAGCAUACCGGCGCCCAACUGACGCUGAAGCACGAAAGCGUGGGUAUCGAACAGGAUUAGAUACCCCUGUAGUC